CCUGAUUCCAAGAUGCCUUUUUUGCCUCCUGAAAAUCUAGAUAUUUCCAUCUGAGAUCAAGCUACAGGUUUAUGGCAAUAUGUUCUGAGUUCCAGCUGAAACAUUGGGACACCAAGAGCACAUCUCUGACAUCAGCAAUGGGUGUGGAACAGAUAAAGUGCUCUGAACAGUGAGAGCCUAUUGUCCCUGACCCUGAUGAGUUCACAUGAAGCCACUACACAAGCAGCCUUUGGAGGAGCCAUGUGGCCCGCACCAGACCAUCAGUCUCCCUUAUUCUAGCUCAGAAGGUGAAUGAAGACUCAGGAGCCCAUGACAUUUCUACUUCAAUGAUUUCCUGAUCCUGAAUCAGAGCAUUGUUCCACAUGACCUCUGAGAGUCCAAAGCAGCAGUUAAUGGGCUCUGGACCAGGUAGUAGCUAUGGAAGCAAAAGAAGGUGAAGAACAGGAUCUUUCUGAAGACCAAAUCUGUCAUUGGAACGUCCCCUGACCCUUCUUGAAAAUGGAGAAUUACAAUCUCUUCUGUGGAGAUGAGGGGAUCUACGUGAAGGAUAUGAGGCAGAACAGCAGCACAGUUAAGACCUUCUAUUUCUGAAGCCCAACAGAUCUUGGUUUGUAUGCCAGGGGGAGCAUUUAGCUGAGACAAUGUGAAAAUGUUCUUCAGCAUUUAGGGCUCUGCUUCAAUGCUCUUCGAUGUGAUAAUAACUAAAUUUCCUGCAACAUGGCUGUGUGGAUGGAAGGAAACAACACCUCUGAUGCCCUGUACUCCCCUGUUAUCUGACAAGCCUGUACUCAAUAGGAGCUCUCAGCAUUUCUGUAGCUGUUGAACUAGCCAAGUCUGGACAUGACCAGGCUGGGCUGAUGGAUUUGAAGCCCUGCUCCUACUAGAACCCAAAAGAUGGCUCUAAUCUCAGAAGACAGAGUGCCUUCCUUAGAAUUCUGGGUCUGUAAUUUAACUUGCCAAUGUAUCCUCUGUAGGGCUGUGAGCUUUUCUGAUCCUGUUUCCUCAUCUGAAAUAAACCUGCAUCCCAGGGCUAGUUGGCAUUUUGUGUAUUUGUGGAAGCGAUUUGUACACUCCUAAGCACUGAACAGGUGUAAGAGAUGGCAAUGGAAAAAAUUAUAUUUAUAGAAUUUACUAUGACCAUCCUCUGCUCUGAACUGUUUUAAGUGCUUUUGUACAUUGACUCACUUAAUUUUCACAAUAGUCCUUGAAGGUAGGAACUCUUAACAUUCCCAUUUUACAGACGAGGAAAUUUGAAAAAGCACAGGCCUGGAGGGAAGUCACAGGUUGUAAGUAGAGGAGCUGAGAGGGAAGUUACGGGAAACUGCACCCCUAACCACUAUCCCACACAGUCUCCCUUUGGUUACAAAGCAUCUGUACUGAGCUGAAUAACAUCCCUUCCAAAUUCAAGUCUAUCUGGAACCUCAGAAUGUGAGCCUAUUUAGAAAUAGGACUGUUGUAAAUGUAUUUGGUUAAAUUAAAUGAAGUCCUACUGGAUUAGGGUGGGUCCUAAGCCAAUAACUGAAAUCCUUAGAAGAAGAGAAAAUAGGAGACAGACAUAUAGGGAGAAGUCAAUGUGAAGAUUGGGGCAGAAAGUGGAAUGAUUCACCUACAAGCUGAGGAAUGCCACCAAUUGCUGGAAACUACCAGAAGUAAGAAAA
Long non-coding RNA from Mustela lutreola (European mink), 1658 nucleotides. RefSeq lists it as uncharacterized. The record is from RefSeq and is a predicted model, not a curated record. The transcript has 5 exons. NCBI's taxonomy places the organism in Eukaryota, Metazoa, Chordata, Mammalia, Carnivora, Mustelidae.